AUUGAACGCUGGCGGCAGGCCUAACACAUGCAAGUCGAGCGAGCGGCGGACGGUUGAUUAAUGUCUGGGAAACUGCCUGAUGGAGGGGGAUACCUACUGGAAACGGUAGCUAAUACCGCAUACUAUCAGAUGUGCCCAGAUGGGAUUAGCUAGUAGGUGGGGUAAUGGCUCACCUAGGCGACGAUCCCUAGUUGGUCUGAGAGGAAGACCAGCCACACUGGAACUGAGACACGGUCCAGACUCCUACGGGAGGAAGCAGUGGGGAAUAUUGCACAAUGGGCGCAAGCCUGAUGCAGCCAUGCCGCGUGUAUGAAGAAGGCCGUCGGGUUGUAAAGUACUUUCAGCGAGGAGGCGUUACUCGCAGAAGAAGCACCGGCUAACUCCGUGCCAGCAGCCGCGGUAAUUC
This 406-nucleotide ribosomal RNA is filed under the name uncultured bacterium. RNAcentral describes it as "partial 16S ribosomal RNA". It matches the Rfam family "Bacterial small subunit ribosomal RNA", at positions 30 to 526 of the family's 1533-position model. The record is from RNAcentral.